Molecule: ribosomal RNA, 482 nt
Filed under: uncultured bacterium
Lineage: Bacteria
Description: partial 16S ribosomal RNA
Rfam family: Bacterial small subunit ribosomal RNA
Source: RNAcentral
GAUGAACGCUAGCGGCAGGCCUAAUACAUGCAAUUCGGACGGGAUUCAGGAGCUUGCUUCUGAUGAGAGUGGCGCACGGGUGCGUAACACGUAUGUAACCUACCUUUAUCAGGGGGAUAGCCUCUCGAAAGAGAGAUUAAGCCCGCAUAAAAUCACAGCACCGCAUUGUGUAAUGAUCAAAUAUUUAUAGGAUAAAGAUGGGCAUGCGGAACAUUAGCUAGAUGGCGGGGUAACGGCCCACCAUGGCGACGAUGUUUAGGGGAUCUGAGAGGAUGGCCCCCCAAACUGGUACUGAGACACGGACCAGACUCCUACGGGAGGCAGCAGUAAGGAAUAUUGGUCAAUGGGCGGAAGCCUGAACCAGCCAUGCCGCGUGCAGGAAGACGGCCCUACGGGUUGUAAACUGCUUUUAUACGGGAAUAAACCCAGAUACGUGUAUCUGGCUGAAUGUACUGUAAGAAUAAGGAUCGGCUAACUCCGUG